UCCUCGCAUGAGGACGUAGGUGGAAAUCCUUUUGUAAUUGCGAUAGAAAAUAAUUCAACUAAAAAAAACGCUUCGAUCGCAAUUACAAAAGAUUGGGAACCGAAGACCGACCUUUU
RNAcentral lists this unclassified non-coding RNA (116 nucleotides) under Halpernia frigidisoli. RNAcentral's name for it is "Chryseobacterium frigidisoli Flavo-1 RNA". The record is from RNAcentral. Lineage: Bacteria; Pseudomonadati; Bacteroidota; Flavobacteriia; Flavobacteriales; Weeksellaceae.